Molecule: ribosomal RNA, 461 nt
Filed under: uncultured bacterium
Lineage: Bacteria
Description: partial 16S ribosomal RNA
Rfam family: Bacterial small subunit ribosomal RNA
Source: RNAcentral
CCUACGGGUGGCAGCAGUGAGGAAUAUUGGUCAAUGGGCUUACGCCUGAACCAGCCAAGUCGCGUGAGGGAAGACUGCCCUAUGGGUUGUAAACCUCUUUUGUCAGGGAGCAACGCCGGCUACGUGUAGCCGGACUGAGAGUACCUGAAGAAAAAGCAUCGGCUAACUCCGUGCCAGCAGCCGCGGUAAUACGGAGGGGGCGAGCGUUGUCCGGAAUGACUGGGCGUAAAGGGAGUGUAGGCGGCAUAUUAAGUUAUGUGUGAAAGCCCGCGGCUCAACCGCGGAAUUGCACAUAAAACUGGUAAGCUGGAGUGCAGGAGAGGUAAGUGGAAUUCCCGGUGUAGCGGUGGAAUGCUUAGAUAUCACGAAGAACUCCGAUUGCGAAGGCAGUUCACUGGACUGCAACUGACACUGAGGCUCGAAAGUGUGGGUAUCAAACAGGAUUAGAUACCCCAGUAGUC